UAGGGAAUAUUGGUCAAUGGACGCAAGUCUGAACCAGCCAUGCCGCGUGAAGGAAGACGGCCCUACGGGUUGUAAACUUCUUUUGUACGGGAAAAAACCACCGGUCGUGAACCGGUGCUGAUGGUACCGUAAGAAUAAGCAUCGGCUAACUCCGUGCCAGCAGCCGCGGUAAUACGGAGGAUGCAAGCGUUAUCCGGAUUCGUUGGGUUUAAAGGGUGCGCAGGCGGAAUGAUAAGUCAGUGGUGAAAUCCUACGGCUCAACUGUAGAACUGCCAUUGAUACUGUCGUUCUUGAGUACACUUGGAGUGGGCGGAAUGUGUCAUGUAGCGGUGAAAUGCUUAGAUAUGACACAGAACACCGAUCGCGAAGGCAGCUCACUAAGCUAAAACUGACGCUCAUGCACGAAAGCGUGGGGAGCAAACA
RNAcentral lists this ribosomal RNA (423 nucleotides) under uncultured prokaryote. RNAcentral describes it as "bacterial SSU rRNA". It matches the Rfam family "Bacterial small subunit ribosomal RNA", at positions 355 to 774 of the family's 1533-position model. The record is from RNAcentral.